RNAcentral lists this ribosomal RNA (828 nucleotides) under Triticum aestivum (bread wheat). RNAcentral describes it as "partial small subunit ribosomal RNA". The record is from RNAcentral. Lineage: Eukaryota; Viridiplantae; Streptophyta; Magnoliopsida; Poales; Poaceae.
AUGGCUCCGGGCCUCUACACCGACAUCGGCAAGAAGACCAGAGAUCUGCUCUACAGGGACUACUGCACGCACCAGAAGUUCACCCUCACCACAUGCACCCCCGAGGGCGUCGCAAUCACAGCUGCAGGAACUAGGAAAAACGAGUCAAUCUUUGGCGAGCUUCAGACCCAGCUUAAGAACAAGAACUUGACAGUUGAUAUCAAAGCAAACUCAGAGUCAGAUCUUCUGACAACAUUCACAGUUGAUGAGUUUGCAACUCCAGGGCUGAAAUCAAUUCUCAGCUUGGUUGUUCCAGACCAGAGGUCAGGGAAGCUUGAACUCCAGUAUCUCCAUGAAUUCGCCGGUGUCAAUGCAAGCGUUGGGCUGAACCCCAACCCUAUGGUUAACCUUUCUGGUGUAUUCGGAAGCAAAGAACUGUCAGUUGGUGUUGACGUUUCAUUUGACACGGCAACUAGCAAUUUCACCAAGUACAACGCUGCUUUAAGCCUCACGUAUCCGGAUCUUAUUGCUUCACUCCACCUGAACAAUCACGGUGACACCUUGACUGCGUCUUACUACCACUUAGUAAAGUCACAUUCAAGCACUGCUGUUGGAGCAGAGCUGUCCCACAACUUCCCAAGGAACGAGAGCACAUUGAUAUUUGGAUCGCAGCACUCAUUGGACCCGCACACCAGUGUGAAGGCACGCUUCAACAACUAUGGCAUGGCCAGUGCCCUUGUCCAGCAUGAAUGGCGACCCAAGUCACUCGUCACCAUCUCCGGCGAGGUUGACACCAAGGCAAUUGAGAAGAGCACAAAAGUUGGUCUGUCAUUGGUGCUAAAGCCUUGA